This 393-nucleotide ribosomal RNA is filed under the name uncultured bacterium. Its description in RNAcentral is "partial 16S ribosomal RNA". It matches the Rfam family "Bacterial small subunit ribosomal RNA", at positions 523 to 918 of the family's 1533-position model. The record is from RNAcentral.
AUACGGAGGAUGCGAGCGUUAUCCGGAUUUAUUGGGUUUAAAGGGAGCGUAGGCGGGAUAUUAAGUCAGCUGUGAAAGUUUGGGGCUCAACCUUAAAAUUGCAGUUGAUACUGGUUUCCUUGAGUACGGUACAGGUGGGCGGAAUUCGUGGUGUAGCGGUGAAAUGCUUAGAUAUCACGAAGAACUCCGAUCGCGAAGGCAGCUACCCGGUACGGAACUGACACUGAUGCUCGAAAGUGCGGGUAUCAAACAGGAUUAGAUACCCUGGUAGUGCGCACAGUAAACGAUGAAUACUCACUGUUUGCGAUACACGGUAAGCGGUCAAGCGAAAGCGUUAAGUAUUCCACCUGGGGAGUACGCCGGCAACGGUGAAACUUAAAGGAAUUGACGGGG